Molecule: long non-coding RNA, 376 nt
Organism: Zonotrichia leucophrys gambelii
Lineage: Eukaryota; Metazoa; Chordata; Aves; Passeriformes; Passerellidae
Exons: 4
Source: RefSeq, a predicted model, not a curated record
CUGCUGUUCCCUUCACUCUUCCCUAUCCCCAUUUCCCCUGCAGCAAAAAGGGGAGGAUGAAAUCCCACCCCUCAGCAGUGCUUUGGCACCGGCUGAUCCAACCUGCUCCAUAGGCAGCAGCAAUCAGGAAGGGGCAGCAAAGCCCCCUCUCCUCAGAAGCCAAGGAUUGCUGGUGUGCUCUGUCACCAAAAGAUCUUCCCAUAUAAUGAGCUGCCAGCCAAAAGGAGGUGAUGCUCCUGACAGUUUGAGUACUUGGAAUCUGAGGUGAAAAUGCCCAAGCAAAGAGAUCUGUUGAGAGAGAGAGAAAAAACAGCAGCACAUUAAAAUAAGAAAAUCAGGAUUUUUGCGAAGGACACGGAUUGCCAGGGAGUAAUUU